GCUUUUAUAGUUUAAUUAAAACCUUAGUCUUGUAAACUAAUAAUGGGAAUACCUUAAAGCU
Molecule: transfer RNA, 61 nt
Filed under: Jesogammarus hinumensis
Lineage: Eukaryota; Metazoa; Arthropoda; Malacostraca; Amphipoda; Anisogammaridae
Description: tRNA-Thr
Source: RNAcentral